This 622-nucleotide ribosomal RNA is filed under the name uncultured bacterium. RNAcentral's name for it is "bacterial SSU rRNA". The stretch from base 1 to 541 matches the Rfam family "Bacterial small subunit ribosomal RNA", at positions 338 to 873 of the family's 1533-position model. The record is from RNAcentral.
CCUACGGGAGGCAGCAGUGGGGAAUUUUGGACAAUGGGCGCAAGCCUGAUCCAGCCAUGCCGCGUGUGGGAAGAAGGCCUUCGGGUUGUAAACCACUUUUGUCAGGGAAGAAACGGUUCUUACUAAUAUUGGGAACUAAUGACGGUACCUGAAGAAUAAGCACCGGCUAACUACGUGCCAGCAGCCGCGGUAAUACGUAGGGUGCAAGCGUUAAUCGGAAUUACUGGGCGUAAAGCGUGCGCAGGCGGCUUUGCAAGACAGAUGUGAAAUCCCCGGGCUCAACCUGGGAACUGCAUUUGUGACUGCAUGGCUAGAGUACGGUAGAGGGGGAUGGAAUUCCGCGUGUAGCAGUGAAAUGCGUAGAUAUGCGGAGGAACACCGAUGGCGAAGGCAAUCCCCUGGACCUGUACUGACGCUCAUGCGCGAAAGCGUGGGGAGCAAACAGGAUUAGAUACCCUGGUAGUCCACGCCCUAAACGAUGUCAACUGGUUGUUGGACGGCUUGCUGUUCAGUAACGAAGCUAACGCGUGAGUUGACCGCCUGGGGNGACGGCCGCGAGUAGAACGUAAAGUAGAGUUAGACGGCGUGAGACGUGACCGACGGACGACGACGAGGGAGGAGG